RNAcentral lists this long non-coding RNA (795 nucleotides) under Durio zibethinus. Its description in RNAcentral is "long non-coding RNA (DZIB_LNC002471)". The record is from RNAcentral. Lineage: Eukaryota; Viridiplantae; Streptophyta; Magnoliopsida; Malvales; Malvaceae.
UUUAACUCUAUGAAUCUUAUUUAAAACCCUCUGAUAUCAGCCCCAGCCCUUUAGCUAAACCUACAUAUAAUACACCAUUGAUUCCCAUAUGGCUAGUCCUCCUCAACUAUCAUCUUCCAUGGCCCCUUAUGGUCCUCAACAAGACGAUCAACUUCUUUUCUCUCGUGAUAAAAACUUCGCUUUGCAUGGGGAGAUUAUGAUGUUUAUUUUUCUCCUAGUUUUUGCUGCCUUUAUUUCCUUUCUGCUCUUCUUCCUCUACAUAAAAGGCUUCCGCAGUAACGCUAGUCUGCAAGAAUAUUCAACCGAGCAAGUGUAGCCCUAUAAAUUCUCCGGUGUCCAUCGGGCCAAGGCCCAGUUCGUAAGGGGUUCAAAGGUGUUGAUGAAUCGACCUGUGUAGCCAGCCAAUGGUACGGUAUCAAAGUUAUGAAUAUGUGUAUUUUGGAGUUUGGGUUCCUCUCCUCCCCUGUCAGUUCUCUCUUUCUCGACUUCACGGAGGAGGGCCGGCCACCAGGGAUUCAUUGCGACAUAUCCUGCAGGUAAGGAUAAAAUCCCCAUGAGGUGGCAGCUACGGUCUGGUGGAUAGUAAUUGUUGGAUGUAGAAAUUAAUUAAAUCUAGCCAGCUGGAGGGAAUAGAGGUCGAUAUUCUAUGCAUUUAACAUAUGCCAUUUUAAUAUAGUUUACAAGUCUAAUUAGUUUAGAAUUUAAUUUAUAAAUCAAAACUCAACUUGAGAUUAAUUUGACUUCAUUGGCUUGAUUUGCAAUAUCAAAAUAGUUCUCUUAACAAGUAGCUCAUAU